UACAGAGGGUGCGAGCGUUAAUCGGAAUUACUGGGCGUAAAGCGUGCGUAGACGGUAGCGUAAGUCAGAUGUGAAAGCCCCGGGCUCAACCUGGGAACUGCAUUUGAGACUGCUCUGCUCGGGUGCGGAAGAGGGAAGCGGAAUUUCCGGUGUAGCGGUGAAAUGCGUAGAUAUCGGAAGGAACACCAGUGGCGAAAGCGGCUGCCUGGUCCGACACCGACGUUCAGGCACGAAAGCGUGGGGAGCAAACAGG
RNAcentral lists this ribosomal RNA (253 nucleotides) under uncultured bacterium. RNAcentral's name for it is "partial 16S ribosomal RNA". It matches the Rfam family "Bacterial small subunit ribosomal RNA", at positions 524 to 776 of the family's 1533-position model. The record is from RNAcentral.